GCAUGUUUAGAAAUUUUAAGAAUAAUUUUUAAAAAUUUGCUUUUAAUGUUUUCUAAAUGUUUUAAAAAAUGGUUUUUAAAAUUAAAUUUUAAGAAUAGAAGUUUGUGUAAAAAUAUAUUUUCAAAUCUUUCUUAAAAAUAAAUUUUAUAUAUAAUAUUUUAUUUUCAAAUUUUCUUUAUAUUUAUAUAAGUAUUUUUUUAAACAAUUUCUUUAAAAAAGUGAAAAUAAGAAAAAAUUAUCAAAAAUAUUUUUGAAUUUGAUUUUUUAUUUAAAUUUUUGUGAAUAAAAUUCAAUUUUAAAAAUAACUCCUAAUUUUUUUCAAAAGAGGUUUUAUUUUGAGGAUACCACCUCAUUAAGGAAUACACUGCAUUACAUGGUGCCUUGCCACGUACGCUCCAUAAAUUGUCUUCAAUUUGAUAUGUCCAUAAAC
Molecule: long non-coding RNA, 430 nt
Filed under: Vitis vinifera (wine grape)
Lineage: Eukaryota; Viridiplantae; Streptophyta; Magnoliopsida; Vitales; Vitaceae
Description: long non-coding RNA (VVIN_LNC003362)
Source: RNAcentral